AGGCGGUUAGCUCAGUGGUAGAGCACCUCGUUGACACCGAGGGGGUCACUGGUUCAAAUCCAGUAUCGCCUA
RNAcentral lists this transfer RNA (72 nucleotides) under Armatimonadota bacterium. RNAcentral describes it as "Armatimonadetes bacterium tRNA-Val". It matches the Rfam family "tRNA". From Rfam's summary of the family: Transfer RNA (tRNA) molecules are approximately 80 nucleotides in length. Lineage: Bacteria; Bacillati; Armatimonadota. The record is from RNAcentral.